RNAcentral lists this ribosomal RNA (482 nucleotides) under uncultured bacterium. RNAcentral's name for it is "partial 16S ribosomal RNA". It matches the Rfam family "Bacterial small subunit ribosomal RNA", at positions 30 to 507 of the family's 1533-position model. The record is from RNAcentral.
AUUGAACGCUGGCGGCAUGCCUUACACGUGCAAGUCGAACGGUAACAGGUCUUCGGAUGCUGACGAGUGGCGCACGGGUGAGUAAUACAUCGGAACGUGCCCGAUCGUGGGGGAUAACGAGGCGAAAGCUUUGCUAAUACCGCAUACGAUCUACGGAUGAAAGCGGGGGAUCUUCGGACCUCGCGCGGACGGAGCGGCCGAUGGCAGAUUAGGUAGUUGGUGGGAUAAAAGCUUACCAAGCCGACGAUCUGUAGCUGGUCUGAGAGGAUGAUCGGCCACACUGGGACUGAGACACGGCCCAGACUCCUACGGGAGGCAGCAGUGGGGAAUUUUGGACAAUGGGCGAAAGCCUGAUCCAGCCAUGCCGCGUGCAGGAUGAAGGCCUUCGGGUUGUAAACUGCUUUUGUACGGAACGAAAAGCCUCUUUCUAAUAAAGAGGGGUCAUGACGGUACCGUAAGAAUAAGCACCGGCUAACUACGUG